UACGUAGGGUGCGAGCGUUAAUCGGAAUUACUGGGCGUAAAGCGUGCGCAGGCGGUUCGUUAAGUUCGUUGUGAAAGCCCCGGGCUCAACCUGGGAACUGCAAUGGAAACUGGCGGGCUUGAGUGUGGCAGAGGGGGGUGGAAUUCCGCGUGUAGCAGUGAAAUGCGUAGAGAUGCGGAGGAACACCGAUGGCGAAGGCAGCCCCCUGGGCCAACACUGACGCUGAGACGCGAAAGCGUGGGGAGCAAACAGG
This 253-nucleotide ribosomal RNA is filed under the name uncultured bacterium. RNAcentral's name for it is "partial 16S ribosomal RNA". It matches the Rfam family "Bacterial small subunit ribosomal RNA", at positions 524 to 776 of the family's 1533-position model. The record is from RNAcentral.